Gossypium arboreum is the source of this 106-nucleotide non-coding RNA. NCBI's taxonomy places the organism in Eukaryota, Viridiplantae, Streptophyta, Magnoliopsida, Malvales, Malvaceae. The record is from Rfam.
AAUUCGUGGUGCGGGCAUUUCUAAAUCAAUGUUUUAAAAUGUUCCCAAGCCUCACGAAAACUUUCUCCUUCCAUUUCUUUAAAGACAGUGAUUUCUCUUCUUAGUU